GCCUGGGUAGCUCAGUUAGUUAGAGCAUGGUGCUGAUGAUGCCAAGGUUGCAGGUUCGAUUCCCGUAUGGAUA
Molecule: transfer RNA, 73 nt
Filed under: Podarcis lilfordi (Lilford's wall lizard)
Lineage: Eukaryota; Metazoa; Chordata; Lepidosauria; Squamata; Lacertidae
Description: tRNA.Ile
Rfam family: tRNA (bases 8-66)
About the family: Transfer RNA (tRNA) molecules are approximately 80 nucleotides in length. Their secondary structure includes four short double-helical elements and three loops (D, anti-codon, and T loops).
Source: RNAcentral